CUGAGCUUCACUUCUCACUCAGCUUCAUUCUCGCAGUUCCUCGGUUCAUGUAAUAUUCCGUAAUAACCUUCCGUUUUUUGUCGGAUGUCAUGAAGGCCUUAAAUUGCGCUAUCCUUUGCAGCACAAUCGUCGUGUCCAUCCUUCUACUUGCACUGUGUGACGCCGCCAGCAUUGACUUCGUUGUGCGGAGUCUCCAACGGUCAGCAAGGGAUGCUGCAGACAAUUGGAG
Ornithodoros turicata is the source of this 229-nucleotide long non-coding RNA. RefSeq lists it as uncharacterized. The transcript is spliced from 3 exons. Lineage: Eukaryota; Metazoa; Arthropoda; Arachnida; Ixodida; Argasidae. The record is from RefSeq and is a predicted model, not a curated record.